GCCAAGGGCCUUAUCACUGCCCUGCCCGUGCUGUUUGCACCAGCCGUGUUAUCGCCCCAUGGCAACCACACACAACCGUGACUCAGCACAGCGCUGCUGGGAGCUCCUUGCGCCGAUGGACAAAGCAUCCUGCUGCAGAAAGUGGGCUCGAGAGCCCACCCGGGCGCCCUGCUGCAGGGCAGCCUCAGCACUGUGGCCCUUGAGAUGGGGGAGCCAAUAUCUGUGGGCUGUUCUCUGCGCUCGGUUCAGCUCAGCCCCGCAGUGCUACUGCUGUGUGGGACCCCCGGGAGAAAGGUGUCAUGCUGUGCAAUGGCCUCACCUCAUGCAAUGUUCUCAGGCUGUGCAGUGGUCCCAUGCUGUGCAAUGGUGUCGUGUUGUGCAGCAGUCCCAGGUUGCACAAUGGUCCCACUUCGUGCAACGGUGUCACGUGGUGCAGUGGUCUCAGGUUGUGGAGUGACCUCAUGCUGUGCAAUGGUCCCACGUAGUGCAGUGGUCAAAUGUUGUGCCAUGUUGUCAUGUUGUGUGCUGGUCUCAUGCUGUACAACAGUCCUCUGGAGGCUGGUGGCCAUGCCUGUGGCAGGAGAGUUGGAACCUGAUGAUCCUGAGGCCCCUUCCAACCCAAACCAUUCUAUGAUUCGACGUUGCAGAAUGGCCUCAUGUUGUGCAGUGGUCCCAGGUUGUGCCAGGGAAGGUUUAGAUUGGGCAUGAAGAAGAAUUCCUUCAUGGAGAGGGUGGUGAAGAGAGGAAUGCCCAUGGCUGUGGUGGAGUCCCCAUCCCUGGGGGUAUUUAAAAGGGCAUGAGGGCUGAGUGGUGGGACUUGGUAGGUCAGGUUAAUGGCUGGGCUUGGUGAUCUGGAAGGUCUUUUCUGACCUCAAUGAUUCUAUGAGCUGAGUAAAAUUUGUGAUGGACUUCAGGCCCAUCCCUGGUCCACCGUCAGCAUUCAUUGCUUCACAUGCACUGAGGGGAACAUAACCUAUACAGAAAGUGCAUUCCUCACCCAGCGGUUCCAUGCUGCAAACAGGAGGAGGAAGGCCCAGCUCUGAGCACAGCACUGCACCUUCCUGGCCCCACGGGAACCUUCCUUGCUCACAGGCACCUUCCACUAGUGAGUGCCCGGGGCUGCACAGUUUGGGACACAGCUCUCGUGGUUCCCACUGAGUGCUGCAUUUUUGGGGGAUGGGGGUCCUUCCCAGCUCCCUUCUUGCCUGGAGAUGGGGAACACCCACUGUCCAGCCUUGGGCAGUGGCCUUGCAGCCACUUUCUGCUCUCCUGAGCCCACAGCUGUGAGUUUGGGCCCUGCUCUGGCAGAGCCUCCUCCAUAGAACUCCCCAGAAGGAAUUCCCUGCUGAACGGGCACUUGUAGGACACGUGUGACAUACAGGACACAGCGUGACAUACAGGACACAGUGUGACAUACAGGACACAGUACGACCUACA
This is a long non-coding RNA of Gallus gallus (chicken), 1437 nucleotides long. Lineage: Eukaryota; Metazoa; Chordata; Aves; Galliformes; Phasianidae. The record is from Ensembl.